CCAGAACCAACUGCACAUCAA
RNAcentral lists this microRNA (21 nucleotides) under Vitis vinifera (wine grape). Its description in RNAcentral is "miRNA s675359_1". Lineage: Eukaryota; Viridiplantae; Streptophyta; Magnoliopsida; Vitales; Vitaceae. The record is from RNAcentral.